GUCCACCCCACCUUCAAAUGGUUCAGCUGAAGUCAAAUUUAGUAGUGUCUAAGAAGGAUAAAAAAAAUUUUUUUUUUUUUUUUAAGAAGGAUAAAGGGAAGAAUGAUUGUGCCAAUUACUAGGGGCAAUAAACCAAAUAAUUACUGAAAAGAUUAUCACUUGAUAUUCUGAAUUAGCUUUUCAGUUGGACCAAUUAGCCAGAAAAGUUCUAGAUUUCUAUUUUAUUCCAUGAUCUAUGCACAACUCAGCACCAGAUGCCCUUUUACGCAAACCUGGACACAUCUUGAAGAGGUUCAUACCUAAACACCAUGCAACAUAUAACAAAGUCUGUGUGAAAUGUGCCUAUCAGUCCCAACCAGAGCCCUCAGGAUUGUGUGGAAAAAAUUCUGCAAUCAUCAACCUUCAGCCUACAUGGUCCUUAUGCAAACCCCUGGGGGGUGGGGUAGUUUCACAGGGUAGAACCUCACAGAAGCUUAGAACUUCCUCAUUUAUAUGGUUGCCCAAAUCUGGUAUGUCUUUAUUAAUCUGGCAGAAAAUGCUCACAUCCAUCAGAGAGUAAAACGAGUGAAAUACAAGAAAAUUCAUUUUAUAUGCUACCGGCAGAAUAUUCUGAGCCUGUAAAUAAUUUUAAAUUAUUUAUUUUCAAUGUUGUAUAUAUAUUUUAAAGGAAAUCCUAUUUCUUUUAGUCUUGGCUGCUCUUAAAGUGAAAUUCUUUAAAUUCAGAUAAACAUAUACAACCACACACUCAAUUGGGAAAACACAACAGAAAAUUACACAAAAUUCCAAACCAGAUUUUUUUUUUAAUGGCAAUUCAUUGCCUUAUCUUUAACAACCUGAGACAAUUAACUGUGUAAUUUUAACUUAAUGCAGUGGGAGCCUCGAUUUUAUCAAUAUGUAUAUACUUUGAAUCUCUUUACAUUUCACUUAAAAUUUUCUGCUCUAACAGCACAAAAAAAAGGAGGAAAAGGUCAUUUUUUCACACUAAACUGAGGCUCACACCUGGGGGUCAGCGUCUAGUUUCCAUUAAAUGCACUGGUGGAACUUUUAGCAUGCCUGAGAAGUAAGCUUGCGAAGGAUCAAUUCCUCAUUUUCAUUUCUCCUCAAGAUUCUACAUCAAAUAUUUUUUCCCAUUAGGUCCGGAGCAGUAUCUUAUGUGUUAUGGUCGGAUUGCAUUUGCUCCAAAUUUGCCAGCGAAAUCUGAUUUAACAACAAAAACUUAUCAAAAACUGAUAAAUCAAUAUUCCAAUCCAAACCAUACUGUUCACUUUUAAACAGUUCCCAACUAACAGAAAAUGAUGUGAAGUUUCGAUUUUAAUAUGAGAUGUUAAAAAUGAAGGAUAAAAAAAUCGGCUUUAAUACAUAUAUCAGGCCAUCUUAAAACACUUUAUGCAGUUCUUAGAUGCUUCAUUAAUCUGUGAAAAAGCUCCCCAAAUGACAGAAUGAAUGAACAAACGAAAGGAAGAGAGAAAGAGGGGGACACGCAGACAGAAACAUUAGGUUCCUCCUUCCUCGGCCCUAUGCUCUGCCAUUAUCCCCCAGAAACUCCUCACCAAAUGCACACCCAUUAAAAUGAACUUGGGCGGGGGGAUGGCGGGAAGAGAGUCAGAUUUCCUUUAGCAGUGAGCUGAUUGCUGAAGAAAAAUGAAUCAUUGCACACUCGAAUGAGAAAAUAUGAAAAAAGCCCUCUUCCACUAAUUGGGGCCCGUUUUAAGCAAUUCGUUAAGCCAUGGCCCUGCGCCACAGCUAUCAGGAGGUGGGGCACGGGUACAACCUGAAAGCACAGCGUGAAAAUGGAGCCUAAUGAUGCUCUCCAUCACCCCCAGACAGCCUGCCCAGGGCCCCUGCAGUUGGCCUGGAGGGGACACUGAGCCUCUCCUGAAAAGCCCCUCAGAGAAGAGGAGAAGAAAGCGCUGGCUGUUGAGAUCCAUGCCAGCUCAGCGGAGCACUGUGUGGCACUUACCAAUGACCUCCUGUGUCUCCCAGAGCCUGAAGGAGAGCUGCGUUUCCCACCCGAAUCCAGACUUUGAGGAUCCGGGCCUCCGGACCCAGUGUUCCCUGAAAUCCCCUCUAACUCAGUCCAUCUGGGAAGGGACCCUGCUGCAGGCCUCCUGCUUCCUCCUCCCCAAAGUUCCACUGCUGCCUUCAGGCUGGUCUCCGGCAAACCACUUGCCAAAUAUGCAAAAAAGGAGGGAAGAUAAGUUUUCUCGCAGGAAAACACAGACAGAAAAGGAGCCUGUGCUUCCUGCCCUAACCAAAGUGAGUUCAGAAAUUAUUUGGACGUCUGAUUUGUCAGGCUUGUGGUAGGAGAGUGUGCUCUUUUAGUCAACAGGAAUCGCUGAGUUCCCCAAAGUCAGAAAUGGCCAAGGGGAAAGGAAAUAAGACCAGGCCUGCAACAGCAAGGAAGACACCCCACCCCACACCUGGGACUUAGGGUCUUUACCAUUUUUAACAGUUUAUCACCAGGUGGUUGUCUGAAGACACCUUAGGCAUCCACUAUUUAUCACUAUAAAGCAAGGGGGGAAAAAGUUAGCUGAAACAGCCUGGCAGCUGCCUGCAGCUUAGGCCUCACUAGGUUCCUUUCCUUUCAGGUCUUCUCAGGAGUAACCACUAGGGAGAAUCUCCCAAACAGGACAGCCCCCGCCUCUCCAAUUAAACACUUUCUGCCGAGCUUCUUUCAUUUGCCAUUCUAUUUCACUGAUAAUACACAGCACUGCGCUGUUAAUGUCUCCUCAUGUCUUAAAGAUAAAAAAAAAAAAAAAGAUAAGCAUUAGAAUAUCAGCAAACAUGAAAAAAAAAAAAAGUCAAAUGCUAUUAAAGCAACGGCACCAAAAAUCUAAAGAGGGAACAUUCGUUACAAGAGAACCAGAGGUGUAAAGUAAUUCAUUAAAUUGCGAAGAAAUACGAUAAAGCUGUCGAUCUCCAGGAAGAAACCAGUCUGAGUAUUUAGUCAACACCCCAAUAAAAACUGUUUCAUUGCUGCUGCUAUAGCCUGGUUUGGGGUGGCCUAAGUCCCUGACAAAACCCUUUCCUAUCUCACGCCUCAUCUGAAUUGUAAAUGUGUGUGUGUGUGUGAAAUGCUGAUAUUCUGAAACUCAACAUUUCUAAGACCUAGAUCAAAAAUUUACAUGUGCCUUUUUUGAGCAAAAUAAUGAUCUGUUUCGACAUGUGAAACUGCUUGAUAAAUGUCUCUCUUAUAAGCCUCAAAGGAGGGGUCACCUGUUGCUUUUACAUCUUGGGUUUUUUUUUAACCCCAUAAAAUAAAAUAAUACAGUACAGGUACGAAAAAAACCAAAAAAACACCUCUGAAAAGAGGUCUCUGCAAAUACGAACGAAUGGAUUCCGGGCAGGGAGUGAUGUGAACAGUCAGGGGCCGGAGGUGCAGCACCUGUCUAUACUAGGAUCAGGAGUCAGAAAGCCCGUAAAGAUUUCUCAGAAAUGGGCGAGCACCAGGCAGCAGAGAACCCAGAAGGGUGUCUGGUUUGCUCUCUGUGAGCUGCAGCCACUCAGGAAUCUCCUCCAGAAUAAGGCAACAAAAAUCUGUACUUUUUUCACACUAUAAUCAUUUAACAAUCACAAAGAUUCCAGAAGGAAAAAAAAAAAAAAGUCACUAUGUGGUGCCAUCCUUGACAAAUUAUGAGUUAACUGCAGUUCCAUCACACGAACGUGCAAUGUUGGACAGACAUCCAAAAUACACACAUCAUUUAUGCCUCAAUUCUCCAUCAUCAACGGGAAAAUCCAUCUUGUUUCAGUAAAAAUUAAAAAAAAAAAAGCUUUGUUAUUUAGGUCAGAUCUAUUUGCUGUUAAAACCCUUUUCCACCCCUCCCCAUGCCUUCUUACUCCAGCCUGUGUGUAUACUCUUGGUGUUCACGUGCACAUAUAAUUUACUUAUUCACUUCCUGCAUCUAUGAAUGCACACAUAAUUUGGAAAUACAUAUCAUCCCAGCUUUCUUGAAAUAUAUAUGUAUAUAUAUUGAGAUUAGAUACAUACACACAUAUAUAAUGAGGGGGAGGAUGCGUUUCACAUCAUGGCAUGUAGUAGGCAGCCAUACAUAAACAGCCACAGAUAUACACUUACAUAUGCAUGUAAAUGUAUGCCAUAUCCAUAUUUUGUAUUCUCUCAAAUUUCAAAAGCUUUAACAUUUAUAUUAACAAUGUGCUACUGCAUUAACCAAUGGUGAAGCACACAAAUCCAAAUCAACAACAACAAAAAUUUUUCCCCAAACAAACCAACCUCCGAUCUCAAACUCUAAACAACUAGUCAAGUAGGGAAGAUGCAGAGACUGGCAGCAGGGCUGGGUAUUAGGCCUCUGAGCCAAAAAAGGCAUCAUGAUCUUAAUUGUUCAACAAGUCAUAUGCUGCAAGGAUAGCCACAGUUUGCCUUCUGUUCAAAAGACUGUGUAUAAACUUCCCAAAAAGGUCCAACAUAGCACAUCCACACUUAUUUCCCAGCCUGGUGAUACCAUGAUGGUGGGAUAUGGUUGCCAAGAUGCUCCUGAGUUUUUAAGUAUGUGUUGUUUUCAAGGCAGCAGCCCUUUCAUUUAAACACUGUUGUGUUAAACAAACAUGCAUGGGGGAGUUUCUAAAACUCCUGCCUUCAACUAUCAUUCUGGAGAAAAAGGGGAAGGAAAUAUGACCAUUUAACUCAAUAUAAUGUUUGGUCAUAAGCUCUCACAGACUGCAAAAGACCUGGAGGCACACCGUCUUCCAUGGAAAAGAGGAAUGUUCACCUACAUUCACUUGAAAUUUUGAAAUGAGACAUUGUAUCAAACCAGAAUUACAUAUGAUUUUAAAAUGUGACAUCAUUAGCUAUAUCUGAAAAGCAAUACUGCGUCCAAUAUUAUUUCGUGUCCAAUAUUAUGUUCUGUGUAUUAUACAAUGCCAAUACAAGCAGGUGGAUCUUUCUGUCCCUGGGACUUUUUAAAGUCACUGUUAUGAGUCGGCAUCAACUCAAUGGCAACUGGUUUGCUUUUUUUUUUUUUUAAUUUUAAAGUCACUGGGAAUAUUUGUCAGUGGUAUUGUUUAAAUUUUAAACCACACACCAGAACAAUCUGAUUUGUCACCGAAACAUGUCUGACACUUUCUAACAUAAACAUUCAGUUUCAUAUUUAAAUGUUACUUUUUAAAAUCCCAAAUGAAAAAAGAUGAGUACAACUGAUCCAAGCAUUAGCACUGUCUUCAAACAAAGAAAUAACUCAAGAGGCCGAGGACCUUUUCCUGCAGGCUUCCCUCUCCCUCUGUUCCUAAACAAAGUGAAUGAAUCCAUAAACUCAUUUCAGUUUUUGUGAAAGUUUAAAUAUUAGACAUAUUAGAUAUUUUCUUCUCCUACGAGUUUUCCUCUUUUAAAAGAAGUGAAUUCGACUAGCAAAGAGAUAUUAUUUCUUCACCACAUUUUGUUGCUGUAAGUUUAAAACAAGGCUUAGACCAUGAAAAGGUACCUCAGAGUUGAAAUACACUAUCUGCAGCAGGGUGGGAAAACCCAGCAAAGCGUCUACAUUGAAAUUCACUCUUAAUUGGAGGCUCCAGCUCCAAAAGAGAAUGGAAAUUACAUUUGAAAGCCCUGCCUGAUCAUACCCUAUGGAAACAUUAUCUCCCCCAAAACAGAAGAAAAAACAGUCACUCCCAUAUGAGAUGCCUUAGAAAUCAUCAGUGACGCUUGACAAAUUUUUAAAACACAAUCACAACUAACAAGGGUCCUUAUUAGGAGGGUUUUCGUGAGAUGGCAAAUGUUCUAACUUUUCAAAACCUGGAUAACUCUCAUUUAGUAGAAGGCAAGUUAAGACUCGAUCCAAUUCUUGUACAGUCAAAAAGCUCUCACCCUCAAAAAUAAGAAACGCUCUUGACUUCUCUGAUGUCACUAUGUAAGUAUAUAUAUAUUUAAACAUGACUUGGAACUAGAACAUCCUCUUCGAGGCAACCGCGGGGUCUGCUCAGAAGUGUUCCCACCGCCAGCCUGGCCCCGCACCCCUGAUGUCACAGUCCAAAGCGGUGCAGGAUCAGACCAAGUGAGCGCUCUCACUGUCCUCAGAAAAGAUAGGGCGGACCUUAGAGAAACCUGGGUGUCAAAAUCCUACCGGCUAGUCUUUUCUUUCUUUCCUUCUCUCUUUUUAAUCCACCAACUACCCAAGUUUUCCUUCUGAAAUUCAAUUUGGAAAAACUCACGUGGAUUUUUGCGUCGGAUUUUGGAGGUCAAAAUUGAUCCUCGGGUGUUCAGAGGAACUUUGGAGCCGGGGGUCCCUCUGCCCUGCCGGGCUCGUCCUCCUCGCCCGCCUCGCCGCGGCCGGGCGUCCCGUCCGGGCUCGGGUCCGCUCCGCGGGGACUGAGGGGCCGACGCCACUGUCGCCGAAGCGCGCUAGCCGCCCCUGGGCGCGGGCAGCGCGGGCAACGCAGACAGCGCGGGCACUUGUUAGAAUGCCCUGCUCCCUUCGCCCUGGUGCUUGUCCCAGCUUUCUUUCACAAUGACUUCCUGAAGUUGCUCACUCGCAUUGUUCCCCAUUUCUCCUGCACACUCCCCCGCCCCCCGCCGGCUACGAACUGGACUUUCGCGCACUCGACCAGGGUGGUCCCGACCGCGCGGCAGUGGCCGCGGGGCUCCGCACCUGGGCAGCGUGCGCUGUGCAGGACCCCCGUAUCGCCGUGGACCGGGGCAGAGGACCCGCCCCCGCCCAAGGGUCGCCUGACCGCCACCUGCCUACGCGGUACUAUUGGAGAUACCGAUGGCCGCAAAGAAGCAUACAAUAUGGUCUUGACUCUUAGGGGCUCACAGUCUAGUGAAGUAGACAGACAACUAAAUAAUUGAAUUUGGGUUGUGACAAAUUCAGAUGCAAAGCCUUACGGAACACAGAGGAAGGAGCCAUAAGUAGGCCCCAGUUGCUAGAGCUGGAGAAACGCUUUCUGGACGCAAGAAGAGAGGCUUGCUGGGAUCUUGAGCAGAGACAAGAAUAUAAAAAGAGGUGUGUAGAAAUGCUUUUCUUCUCCACAUCUGGGGGUGGGGGCAGGCCCUUAAAAAGAUGUCUCCCCUAAGAGAAAAUUAACUAAGUCUACUAGUAAUAUUAUAUGCAUUACUCCUUAUUGAGCCCAUCUCUGGGAGGAUUGUCUCCAGGCUAACAGUGCAGCUCAUGGAAGCAGCAGUCAAGAAAUCAAAAGACAUAUUGCAUUGGACAAAUAACAACCAUCAACGCCCAUGGAAGCGUCAGUCAAGAACUCAAAUGAAGUAUCACACUUGGCAAAUCUACUGCAAAAGACCUCUUUAAAAUCUUAAGAAGCAAAGCUGUCACUCUGAUGAUUAAGGUGCACCUGACCCAAACCAUGGUAUUUUCAAUCACCUCAUUUACAUGUGAAAGCUGGACAAUGAAAAAGGAAGACUGAAGAAGAAUUGACACAUUUGAACCAUGGUGUUGGCAAAGAUAUUGAAUACACCAUGGACUGCCAAAAGAAAGAAUAAAGCUUUCUUGGAAGAAGUACAGCCAGAAUGCUCCUUAGAACCAAGGAUGGCGAGACUUCAUCUCACUUACAUUGGACGUGUUAUCAGGAGAGACCAAUCCCUGAAGGACAUCAUGGUUGGUAAAGUAGAGGGUCAGGGAAAAAGAGGACUCUCAAUAAGAUGAACUGACACAGUGCCGGCAGUAGUGGCCUCAAACAUAGCAAUGAUUGUGAGGACGGCACAGGACCAGGUAGUGUUUUGUUCUCUUAGACACACAGUCUCGAUGAAUUAGAGCCAACUUGAUGACAUGGCACCUAACAACGAACAAUGCAGUGAGGCUGGCAUUGCUAUCCUAAUUUUACUAGAGGAUGCUGAAGCUAAGAAAGAGCCACUUUCGUUGCCUGGGAUUGAUGAAAGGCUGAGAGUCUGAUGGGUCAAAAUAUUUUAUGUCCAGUCUUCAAAGGAAACGAGAUAGCUUUAGGGGAGGAAGGAAAUGAACCAUAGGAAAGUCCUACAAAUCUUGGGGUCACUGUACUAACUUGAUCAAGAGACUUAACAUCUUUGAACAUCAGAUUCGCGUUUCUACAGCAGGAAAAAUGAAUUCUGCCUCGUGAAAAUUGUUGUAAGGAUUAAAUGAGGGCAUAAAUAUCAUUCUUCAAAGGUGAUGUCAUGGAUUAAAUUGUGUCCCCCCAAAUAUAUGUGUCAACUUGGUUAGGCCAUGAUCCCCAGUAUUGAGUGGUUGUCCUCCAUUUUGUGAUUGUAGUUUGAUGUUAAGAGGAUUAGGGUGGGAUUGUUACACCACCCUUACUCAGGUCACCUCCCUGCUUCAGUGUGGAGGGAGUUUCCCUGGGGUGUGGCCUAUGCCACCUUUUAUCUCUUAAGAGAUAAAGGAAAGAGAAGCAAGCAGAGAGUUGGGGACCUCAUACCACCAAGAAAGCAGCACUGGGAGCAGAGCAUGUCCUUUGGACCUGGGGUUCCUGUGUCUGAAAAGCUCCUCGACUGGGGAAAGAUUGAGGACAAGGACCUUCCUCCAGAGCCAACAGAAAGAGAAAGCCUUCCCCUGGAGCUGAUACCUUGAAUUUGGACUUUUAGCCUACUUUGCUGUGAGAAAAUAAAUUUCUCUUUGUUAAAGCCAUCCACUUGUGGUAUUUCUGUUAUGGCAGCACUAGAUGACUAAGACAGGUGGUAUCUGGUAACUCAAUGGCAGUUUUCUUCAUCUUCCCUUUCCCUUGCUUAGAGAUGCCUAUAAGGAUUUUUGGAAGGCAUUGCCUAGCAGAGAGCGAUGAAGAAGAAGAAGGCAGAGCACCUUAAAAGCGUCCUCAGAUUCUGAGUCGGGAAUAAUUUUGACUAAGAUGCAAGAGAAUCAUUUUUUUUUUUUUCUGAGAAGAGUAGUGAAGAAACAUCUCAAUGUGGCUGGAGCAAAGCACGGCUGGUCUCAGGAGUAAUAAACCAGCAUUUAUCCAGCAGUUUAAAGUUUACAAAUGCACCCACAAACUUUUCCUUUGAACCUGAGACUAAGAAGCAAGGUAAAUAUUCAGGACACCGCGUGUGCCCGGUUUUCUCCCAUGGCCUUGGCCUCCCUUCGUAGUCUCCUUCCAA
Loxodonta africana (African savanna elephant) is the source of this 9019-nucleotide long non-coding RNA. RefSeq lists it as uncharacterized. The transcript is spliced from 3 exons. NCBI's taxonomy places the organism in Eukaryota, Metazoa, Chordata, Mammalia, Proboscidea, Elephantidae. The record is from RefSeq and is a predicted model, not a curated record.